CUUCCUCUUCCGGUUGGCAGA
Molecule: microRNA, 21 nt
Filed under: Bos taurus (domestic cattle)
Lineage: Eukaryota; Metazoa; Chordata; Mammalia; Artiodactyla; Bovidae
Description: bta-miR-7864
Source: miRBase by way of RNAcentral